CGGGUGCGUAACACGUGAGCAACCUGCCUUUGGUGGUGGGGGAGUAGCCGGGCUAACGCCCGGGUAAUACCGCAUACGGUCAUCGAGAGGAGUCUCUUGGUGAAGAAACCUCCGGGGCACAGAGAGGGGCUCGCGGCCUAUCAGCUAGUUGGGGGGGUAAUGGCCCACCAAGGCGACGACGGGUAGCUGGUCUGAGAGGAUGGCCAGCCACAUUGGGACUGAGAGACGGCCCAG
Molecule: ribosomal RNA, 234 nt
Filed under: uncultured bacterium
Lineage: Bacteria
Description: partial 16S ribosomal RNA
Rfam family: Bacterial small subunit ribosomal RNA
Source: RNAcentral